GAUGAACGCUAGCGGCAGGCUUAACACAUGCAAGUCGAACGGCAGCGCGGGUAGCAAUACCUGGCGGCGAGUGGCAAACGGGUGCGGAACACGUACGCAACAUACCCCCAACUGGGGCAUAGCCUUCUGAAAAGGAGAUUAACACCCCAUAAGAUCACCAGGUAGGCAUCUAUUAGUGAUAAAAAUUUAUUGGUUGGGGAUUGGCGUGCGUCCUAUUAGCUAGUUGGUAAGGGAACGGCCUACCAAGGCGACGAUAGGUAGCUGGUGUGAGAGCACGACCAGCCACACGGGCACUGAGACACGGGCCCACUCCUACGGGAGGCAGCAGUGAGGAAUAUUGGUCAAUGGACGCAAGUCUGAACCAGCCAUGCCGCGU
RNAcentral lists this ribosomal RNA (376 nucleotides) under uncultured bacterium. RNAcentral's name for it is "bacterial SSU rRNA". It matches the Rfam family "Bacterial small subunit ribosomal RNA", at positions 28 to 402 of the family's 1533-position model. The record is from RNAcentral.